GACGAACGCUGGCGGCGUGCUUAACACAUGCAAGUCGAACGGAAAGGCCCUGCUUUUGUGGGGUGCUCGAGUGGCGAACGGGUGAGUAACACGUGAGUAACCUGCACUUGACUUUGGGAUAACUUCAGGAAGCUGGGGCUAAUACCGGAUAGGAGCUCCUGCUGCAUGGUGGGGGAUGGAAAGUUUCGGCGGUUGGGGAUGGACUCGCGGCUUAUCAGCUUGUUGGUGGGGUAGUGGCUUACCAAGGCUUUGACGGGUAGCCGGCCUGAGAGGGUGACCGGCCACAUUGGGACUGAGAUACGGCCCAGACUCCUACGGGAGGCAGCAGUGGGGAAUAUUGCACAGUGGGCGGAAGCCUGAUGCAGCAACGCCGCGUGCGGGAUGACGGCCUUCGGGUUGUAAACCGCUUUCGCCUGUGACGAAGCGUGAGUGACGGUAAUGGGUAAAGAAGCACCGGCUAACUACGUG
This 468-nucleotide ribosomal RNA is filed under the name uncultured bacterium. RNAcentral's name for it is "partial 16S ribosomal RNA". It matches the Rfam family "Bacterial small subunit ribosomal RNA", at positions 28 to 507 of the family's 1533-position model. The record is from RNAcentral.